CAUGUAGGCGGAUUAAUAAGUUUGAAGUGAAAUCCUAUAGCUUAACUAUAGAACUGCUUUGAAAACUGUUAAUCUAGAAUGUGGGAGAGGUAGAUGGAAUUUCUGGUGUAGGGGUAAAAUCUGUAGAGAUCAGAAGGAAUACCGAUUGCGAAGGCGAUCUACUGGAACAUUAUUGACGCUGAGAUGCGAAAGCGUGGGGAGCAAACA
RNAcentral lists this ribosomal RNA (207 nucleotides) under uncultured bacterium. RNAcentral describes it as "partial 16S ribosomal RNA". It matches the Rfam family "Bacterial small subunit ribosomal RNA", at positions 568 to 774 of the family's 1533-position model. The record is from RNAcentral.